Non-coding RNA from Myotis brandtii (Brandt's bat), 75 nucleotides. The record is from Rfam. Lineage: Eukaryota; Metazoa; Chordata; Mammalia; Chiroptera; Vespertilionidae.
GGCAGUUCUCGAGUGACCCACCCUGGAAUUGGGCUCCCUCUUCUCUGGGACUGGGUGUGUCACCUGAGAACCGCA